CCUACGGGUGGCAGCAGUGAGGAAUAUUGGUCAAUGGGCGAGAGUCUGAACCAGCCAAGUAGCGUGAAGGAAGAAGGCGCCAUGCGUCGUAAACUUCUUUUGUCGGGGAAUAAAGGGCGCCACGCGUGGCGUUGUGAGUGUACCCGAAGAAAAAGGAUCGGCUAACUCCGUGCCAGCAGCCGCGGUAAUACGGAGGAUGCGCGCGUUAUCCGGAUUUAUGGGGUUUAAAGGGUGCGUAGGCGGUGCGUAAAGUCCGCGGUAAAAGCCCGGGGCUCAACCGAGGCGUGCCGUUGAAACUGUCAGACUAGAGACGGCGAGAAGUACGCGGAAUGCGCGGUGUAGCGGUGAAAUGCAUAGAUAUCGCGCAGAACUCCGAUUGCGAAGGCAGUGUACCGG
RNAcentral lists this ribosomal RNA (396 nucleotides) under uncultured bacterium. RNAcentral describes it as "partial 16S ribosomal RNA". It matches the Rfam family "Bacterial small subunit ribosomal RNA", at positions 338 to 732 of the family's 1533-position model. The record is from RNAcentral.